CUACAUCUACCCUGUAGAUCCGAAUUUGUUUGAUACAGUGCGACAAAUUCGGUUCUAGAGAGGUUUGUGUG
Molecule: non-coding RNA, 71 nt
Organism: Rhodnius prolixus
Lineage: Eukaryota; Metazoa; Arthropoda; Insecta; Hemiptera; Reduviidae
Source: Rfam